Molecule: ribosomal RNA, 497 nt
Filed under: uncultured bacterium
Lineage: Bacteria
Description: partial 16S ribosomal RNA
Rfam family: Bacterial small subunit ribosomal RNA
Source: RNAcentral
GAUGAACGCUGGCGGCGUGCCUAAUACAUGCAAGUCGAGCGAACAGACGAGGAGCUUGCUCCUCUGACGUUAGCGGCGGACGGGUGAGUAACACGUGGAUAACCUACCUAUAAGACUGGGAUAACUUCGGGAAACCGGAGCUAAUACCGGAUAACAUGUUGAACCGCAUGGUUCAACAGUGAAAGACGGUCUUGCUGUCACUUAUAGAUGGAUCCGCGCCGCAUUAGCUAGUUGGUAAGGUAACGGCUUACCAAGGCAACGAUGCGUAGCCGACCUGAGAGGGUGAUCGGCCACACUGGAACUGAGACACGGUCCAGACUCCUACGGGAGGCAGCAGUAGGGAAUCUUCCGCAAUGGGCGAAAGCCUGACGGAGCAACGCCGCGUGAGUGAAGAAGGUCUUCGGAUCGUAAAACUCUGUUAUUAGGGAAGAACAAAUGUGUAAGUGACUAUGCACGUCUUGACGGUACCUAAUCAGAAAGCCACGGCUAACUACGUG